CGAGCCAGCCGGGUGAUCGCGGCAAACAAACCACCGCCUGACAUGGCGGCAGGUGAGCGCCGAGGAAAGUCCGGACUCCACAGAGCACGGUGGUUGCUAACGGCAACCCGGGGCAACCCGCGGGCACAGUGCAACAGAAAGUAAACCGCCACGCCAUGGUGCGGGGUAAGGGUGAAAGGGUGCGGUAAGAGCGCACCAGCGGAUCAGGUGACUGGCCCGGCUAGGUAAACCCCACUGGGAGCAAGGCAUCACGGCCUGGUGUUUCACCAGACCCGAUCGGAUGGUUGAGGGCUGCUCGCCCGAGUCCGAAGGUAGCUGCUUGAGGCGGCCAGCAAUGGUCGACCCAGAUGGAUGAUCACCGCCUUGAAUAAGGCACAGAAUCCGGCUUAUAGGCUGGCUCGCUCA
Molecule: RNase P RNA, 405 nt
Filed under: Corynebacterium incognitum
Lineage: Bacteria; Bacillati; Actinomycetota; Actinomycetes; Mycobacteriales; Corynebacteriaceae
Description: Corynebacterium incognita Bacterial RNase P class A
Rfam family: Bacterial RNase P class A
About the family: Ribonuclease P (RNase P) is a ubiquitous endoribonuclease, found in archaea, bacteria and eukarya as well as chloroplasts and mitochondria. Its best characterised activity is the generation of mature 5'-ends of tRNAs by cleaving the 5'-leader elements of precursor-tRNAs. Cellular RNase Ps are ribonucleoproteins.
Source: Rfam by way of RNAcentral